This 1168-nucleotide long non-coding RNA is filed under the name Cyanistes caeruleus (blue tit). Its description in RNAcentral is "lncRNA (ENSCCEG00000017800.1)". Lineage: Eukaryota; Metazoa; Chordata; Aves; Passeriformes; Paridae. The record is from RNAcentral.
ACAUUGACUCUGGUUCUUGGGAGCGAGCUCGGGGGGUCUGCCCCGCUGCACCUUGAGGAUCACCCAGGCUGCUCCUCAGCUCCUUCCCAGCUGGGACACUCCAGGCAGGGAGCUGGGGCCACCCUGCACAUCCAGGGGAGCCUCUCCAAGGCAAGGAGCAGGAAACUCUCCCAGCUGAAAUCUAAUCCUACCUUGGUUAACAUAACAGAGAGAACAGGAAGCGCUGUGAAGGAAUUUUUCAUUCCCUGGGACGUCUUUGAUCCCGCUCCCCUCCCUUUUCCUAUCAGAUCCCUUUCGGUGCCUUUCUCCAUAGGGAAUUCCUGGCUCUGUGCAAGGAGCUCAGACACCUUUCCCAGGAGAAAACUCCAGCAGGGCCUGAAAGGGAAAUGCCAGCAAGCUGGAGCAGGACCAUUCCCAUGGGGAUGCACAGGGGACAUCUCUGUGACUCAGCCCAAAAUGUCACCUGCCACUGAAUAUCUUGAGCCUUUUUCCUUCUUCUUUUGUAUUUGCUUGCAGGGAACACGGCAGGGGAUGGUCCCAGUACUGUGUGUGUUUCUCUUCACCAGCCAAAGAGAAAAAAGUCUUGCAGUUCUUCAUCUCUGCCUUGGAUUUGCUGCCACGGAUUGUCCGUGAAUCCUUUUGGGAAGGGGCAGACUGGCUGGUGAGCCCAGCUGGGAGCAGCAUCCUGCAUCCCUCACAGCUCUCCAGCAGCUUUACACCCAUCCCAAGCAUGGCAGGCAGCCUGGAUGGAGCCAAUCCUCCUCUGGAGGAGGAUCCUGAGGGCUGUCUCUUAAUUGCACUCCAUAAUCACUCCUCUAUUUCUGUCUUUCCAAAUCCUGCUGGCAGUGUCAAGGCCCAUUUUGGGCAUGGCAGUAAACAGCAGUUGUUUUUCCCUCUCAGUGUUGCUACCCCAGAGAAGAGGAGUGACAAGGGUGAGUCACCAUGGCAUUUGGCAAAACAUCCCGGGAAAAGUGUUUGUCUGGAAAGCUGAGGAGCCUUGACCCAGGAGAGGUGACAGGAUCCUUCAGAGCCUCUCGAAACCUGUAGGAAUGGAAUAUUCCAGGGCAAGUGGAGAGAGAUAAGGAGCAGAGAGCAGCUGACUCCCGAGCUGUGGAGUGCUCCACUCCUGCCUGGGAGAUAUUAGCAGCUGUAUCAGGUUGCACAUCUG